This 529-nucleotide ribosomal RNA is filed under the name uncultured bacterium. Its description in RNAcentral is "bacterial SSU rRNA". It matches the Rfam family "Bacterial small subunit ribosomal RNA", at positions 777 to 1304 of the family's 1533-position model. The record is from RNAcentral.
AAUAGAUACCCUGGUAGUCCUUGCCGUAAACAAUGUAUACUUGGUGUAGCCGGACUCAACCCUGGCUGUGCCGUAGCUAACGCGAUAAGUAUACCGCCUGGGGAGUACGCUCGCAAGGGUGAAACUCAAAAGAAUUGACGGGGACCCGCACAAGCAGUGGAGCAUGUGGUUUAAUUCGAUGCAACGCGAAGAACCUUACCCAGGCUUGACAUACAGUGGACCGGACUAGAGAUAGUCCCUUCCGCAAGGACCGCUGUACAGGUGCUGCAUGGCUGUCGUCAGCUCGUGCCGUGAGGUGUUGGGUUAAGUCCCGCAACGAGCGCAACCCUUAUCAUUAGUUGCCAACACGUAAAGGUGGGAACUCUAAUGAGACUGCCCGGGUUAACCGGGGAGGAAGGUGAGGAUGACGUCAAGUCCGCAUGGCCCUUAUGUCUGGGGCUACACACGUGCUACAAUGGCCGGUACAGAGGGCAGCCAAACCGCGAGGUGGAGCAAAUCCCAAAAAGCCGGCCUCAGUUCAGAUUGUAGU